This 916-nucleotide ribosomal RNA is filed under the name uncultured bacterium. Its description in RNAcentral is "bacterial SSU rRNA". It matches the Rfam family "Bacterial small subunit ribosomal RNA", at positions 583 to 1513 of the family's 1533-position model. The record is from RNAcentral.
UUAAGUUUGUAGUGAAAUCGUAGGGCUCAACUCUAUCUAGCUACAAAAACUGGGAGGCUGGAGUGCGGUAGAGGCUAGUGGAAUUCUAGUGUAGCGGUAAAAUGCGUAGAUAUUAGGAGGAACACCGGUGGCGAARGCGACUAGCUGGGCCGUAACUGACGCUGAGGCACGAAAGCGUGGGGAGCAAAUAGGAUUAGAUACCCUAGUAGUCCACGCCGUAAACGAUGAAUACUAAGUGUUGGAGAAAUUCAGUGCUGCAGUUAACGCAAUAAGUAUUCCGCCUGGGGAGUAUGCACGCAAGUGUGAAACUCAAAGGAAUUGACGGGGACCCGCACAAGCGGUGGAUUAUGUGGUUUAAUUCGAUGCAACGCGAAGAACCUUACCAAGUCUUGACAUCCCUGGCAAAACUCUAGAGAUAGAGCGGAGGUUAUCCAGGUGACAGGUGGUGCAUGGUUGUCGUCAGCUCGUGUCGUGAGAUGUUGGGUUAAGUCCCGCAACGAGCGCAACCCUUGUCUUCAGUUACCAGCAUUCAGUUGGGGACUCUGGAGAGACUGCCGGUGACAAACCGGAGGAAGGUGGGGAUGACGUCAAAUCAGCAUGCCCCUUAUGACUUGGGCUACACACGUAAUACAAUGGCGCACACAAAGGGAAGCAAUACCGCGAGGUGGAGCAAAUCUCAUAAAUUGCGUCUCAGUUCGGAUUAGAGUCUGCAACUCGACUCUAUGAAGUUGGAAUCGCUAGUAAUCGUGGAUCAGCACGCCACGGUGAAUACGUUCUCGGGUCUUGUACACACCGCCCGUCAAACCAUGAGAGUUGGCAAUGCCCGAAGCCGGUGGCCUAACCGCAAGGAGGGAGCCGUCGAAGGCAGGGCUGAUGAUUGGGGUUAAGUCGUAACAAGGUAACCCGGGCGGCCGCU